CCCCACCUGUAUACACAUAUCACCAUUUUCCACCGUUGAUACCAAACCGCCGCCACAACCAUCACUGCUGCUCUUGCUAUUCAUCUCAAAAAACCGAAUCCCUCUGCAAACAGGGCAAGUCACGUGCAUUUUAAGCCACGUGUCAAUACAUUCCAGGUGGAACACGUGCUUGCAGUAUGGUAUUAUUUUGACGGUGUCUU
RNAcentral lists this unclassified non-coding RNA (200 nucleotides) under Hevea brasiliensis (rubber tree). Lineage: Eukaryota; Viridiplantae; Streptophyta; Magnoliopsida; Malpighiales; Euphorbiaceae. The record is from RNAcentral.